ACUCUCAAGAAUCUCGUGCCUCGAUUGUCCCCCAGCUGGUCAGGAUCAGGGCACACAUGCUCGCCCCCGAGGGGUACAGCCCCCUCAAAAACCGAACAUGGCUCCUCUACAGGCUCCAUCGCUACCCAGCCGGCCUUACGUAGCCCUGAGGCGCACAGGGAACAGGCACCAUGAGUGCGCUCCACGCCAGCGUCUGGCUUUCAUCAUCCGGUUUUCGAGAGCCGCAGAAAUAAAGGGAAGUGGUGCAGCCGCGGGGAAUGGGAAGCUACCACUGCUACUGAAGCCGACGUCACUCACUGCUGGUCAUGUCCACAGUCCACGUCUCUCCCGCUAUCGCCCAACCUACAGUGAAGAUGGACUGGCUGCAUGUCCACACACCACGGGGCAGGCACGCACGCAUGCGCUCCUCGACGGAACCGCCGGGUUUGAUCCAUUCUGCCAGACUGUCCUAGAGACAGACUGGGACAGCUUCCGCCUUACUGCCGCCCGCGGGCUCCAGGGCAGUCUCGUCUCGGCUUCUGUUUGACCCUCUCUGUUGCACUGUUUGGUUUAAGGCUGCAACGUGAAGUCCUGGAGAAGGCGUGUGCCAACUUGAUCAGAGGGGACAAGAAAAGACUCAGGGAGAAAGGACCAGCUCAGGUGACACCAAAACCUCGAGAAUCACUCUAAGAACAAUGCCUUGUGAGGAAGGUUCUAAGGCAUGGGACUGCUUCCAGACGGGAAUCCACAAGCGACAAGCUGACAUGCACAGACCUUUUGAGGUUGCUAACGGAUUACUUCCAGCAGUACGGAACCAACAGCCGAGGGUCAAGUCCCCAAUGCGGAUGCUUCGGUCAGCUAUGUGAAU
Molecule: long non-coding RNA, 847 nt
Organism: Tupaia belangeri chinensis (Chinese tree shrew)
Lineage: Eukaryota; Metazoa; Chordata; Mammalia; Scandentia; Tupaiidae
Exons: 2
Source: RefSeq, a predicted model, not a curated record